AGAGUUUGAUCCUGGCUCAGGACAAACGCUAGCGGUGCGUCUAACGCAUGCAAGUCGAACGGGCGAAGGGGCUUCGGCCCCCUAGCUAGUGGCAGACGGCUGAGUAACACGUAAGCAACCUGCCCCGAAGAGGGGGAUAAUCCGGAGAAAUCCGGCCUAAUACCCCAUGUGCUCUCCUUUUAAUACAGGAGGAGGAAAGGCUUCGGCCACUUUGGGAGGGGCUUGCGUCCCAUCAGGUAGUUGGUAAGGUAAUGGCUUACCAAGCCUAAGACGGGUAACCGGUGUGAGAGCAUGAUCGGUCAGAGGGGGACUGAGACACGGCCCCCACUCCUACGGGAGGCAGCAGCGAGGAAUCUUGCGCAAUGGGCGAAAGCCUGACGCAGCGACACCGCGUGGAGGAAGAAGGCUUUAUUUGUUGUAAACUCCUUUUAUUGGGGAAGAAACUAGACGGUACCCAAUGAAUAAGGGUCGGCUAACUAGGUGCCAGCAGCCGCGGUAAUACCUAGGACCCGAGCGUUGUCCGGAUUUACUGGGCGUAAAGGGCGCGUAGGCGGUUCAUCAAGUCUUGUGUGAAAUCUCUUGGCUUAACUGAGAGGCGCCACGGGAAACUGAUGGACUUGAGGAUAGCAGAGGAAAGCGGAAUUCACGGAGUAGUGGUGAAAUGCGUAAAUACCGUGAGGAACACCAGUGGCGAAGGCGGCUUUCUGGGCUAUUCCUGACGCUAAGGCGCGAAAGCGUGGGUAGCGAACCGGAUUAGAUACCCGGGUAGUCCACGCCCUAAACGAUGGAUACUAAGUAUGGGGGGUAUAGACCCCCUCCGUACUGUAGUUAACGCGAUAAGUAUCCCGCCUGGGGAGUACGGCCGCAAGGCUAAAACUCAAGGAAUGACGGGGGCCCGCACAAGCAGCGGAGCGUGUGUUUAUCGAUGAUAGCGAAGAACCUACAGACUGACAUGUUUUGACCGCCUGUGAAGCAGUUUCUCUCGAGAACAAUACACAGAAUAUGCAUGCUGUCGUCAGCUUCUGCUGAGUGUGGUAGUCCCGCACGAGCCAACUCCGUGCGUUAGUUAAUUCCUUAGCGGACAGCCACUCACGGGAAAGAGUAGAUAAUAUAUCAGCCCUAGGGAUCUACGGCUGCGGUCAAAAACAGCCCUCCAUG
This 1158-nucleotide ribosomal RNA is filed under the name uncultured bacterium. RNAcentral describes it as "bacterial SSU rRNA". It matches the Rfam family "Bacterial small subunit ribosomal RNA", at positions 8 to 1231 of the family's 1533-position model. The record is from RNAcentral.